Non-coding RNA from Clostridiales bacterium CHKCI001, 348 nucleotides. It matches the Rfam family "Bacterial RNase P class A". From Rfam's summary of the family: Ribonuclease P (RNase P) is a ubiquitous endoribonuclease, found in archaea, bacteria and eukarya as well as chloroplasts and mitochondria. Its best characterised activity is the generation of mature 5'-ends of tRNAs by cleaving the 5'-leader elements of precursor-tRNAs. NCBI's taxonomy places the organism in Bacteria, Bacillati, Bacillota, Clostridia, Eubacteriales. The record is from Rfam.
UGAGUAAGAUAAAUGAUCGCGGCUGUGUAUGCCAAAAGGCUACAGGUGAGGAAAGUCCGGGCUUCAUAGGGCAGGAUGCCGGAUAACGUCCGGUAGAGGCAACUCUAAGGCUAGUGCAACAGAGAUAUACCGCCAGAAGUUUCUGGUAAGGGUGGAAAGGUAGUGUAAGAGACUACCUCUUGUUUGGUAACAAACAGGGUAUCUGUAAACCCCAUCCGAAGCAAGACCGAACAGAAAGCGUAAAGUGGCCCGCUUGCUUUCGGGUAGGUCGCUCGAUCAUUUUGGUAACAAAAUGGCUAGAUAGAUGAUCAUUCAUGACAUAACCCGGCUUAUCGUCUUGCUCAUAUA